Molecule: ribosomal RNA, 372 nt
Filed under: uncultured Thermovirga sp.
Lineage: Bacteria; Thermotogati; Synergistota; Synergistia; Synergistales; Thermovirgaceae
Description: bacterial SSU rRNA
Rfam family: Bacterial small subunit ribosomal RNA
Source: RNAcentral
UUACUCUUCGGAGUGAGAGCGUACACAGGUGCUGCAUGGCUGUCGUCAGCUCGUGUCGUGGGAUGUUGGGUAAGUCCCGCAACGAGCGCAACCCUGCAUUCAGUUGCCAUCGGUAAGGCCGGGCACUCUGGAUGGACUGCCGGCGACAAGCCGGAGGAAGGUGGGGACGACGUCAAGUCAUCAUGGCCCUUAUGUCCAGGGCGACACACGUGCUACAAUGGCCGGCACAACGGGAAGCGAAGGGGCGACCCUGAGCGGAUCCCACAAAAGCCGGUCUCAGUUCGGAUUGCAGUCUGCAACUCGACUGCAUGAAGUUGGAAUCGCUAGUAAUCGUGGAUCAGCCAAGCCGCGGUGAAUACGUUCCCGGGCCUU